CCCGCUGAACUUAAGCAUAUCAAUAAGCGGAGGAAAAGAAACUAACAAGGAUUCCCCUAGUAACUGCGAGUGAAGCGGGAAGAGCUCAAAUUUAAAAUCUGGCGUGCCUCUGGUCGUCCGAGUUGUAGUCUGGAGAAGCGUUUUCCGUGUUGGACCGUGUACAAGUCUCUUGGAACAGGGCGUCAUAGAGGGUGAGAAUCCCGUCUUUGACACGGACUACCAAUGCUUUGUGAUGCGCUCUCAAAGAGUCGAGUUGUUUGGGAAUGCAGCUCAAAAUGGGUGGUAAAUUCCAUCUAAAGCUAAAUAUAGGCGAGAGACCGAUAGCGAACAAGUACCGUGAGGGAAAGAUGAAAAGCACUUUGGAAAGAGAGUUAAACAGUACGUGAAAUUGCUGAAAGGGAAACGCUUGAAGUCAGUCACGUCGUUCAGGAUUCAGCCUUGCUUCUGCUUGGUUUACUUCCUGUUGGGUGGGUCAACAUCAGUUUCCAUCAGAGGAAAAAGGCUUCGGGAAGGUGGCAGCAUUCGUGCUGUGUUAUAGCCCUUUGCUGUAUACUUUGAUAGAGACUGAGGACUGCAGCACGCCUUCUGGCUGGGGUUCGCCCACAUACGUGCUUAGGAUGUUGGCAUAAUGGCUCUAAGCGACCCGUCUUGAAACACGG
Molecule: ribosomal RNA, 659 nt
Filed under: uncultured fungus
Lineage: Eukaryota; Fungi
Description: eukaryotic LSU rRNA
Rfam family: Eukaryotic large subunit ribosomal RNA
Source: RNAcentral